Non-coding RNA from Pteropus alecto (black flying fox), 74 nucleotides. Lineage: Eukaryota; Metazoa; Chordata; Mammalia; Chiroptera; Pteropodidae. The record is from Rfam.
GGCUCCAUAGUGUAGUGGUUAGCACGUCUGCUUUACAUGCAGAAGGUACUGGGUUCAUGCCCCAAGUGAAGCCA